Molecule: ribosomal RNA, 301 nt
Filed under: uncultured bacterium
Lineage: Bacteria
Description: partial 16S ribosomal RNA
Rfam family: Bacterial small subunit ribosomal RNA
Source: RNAcentral
CAGUAGCCGCGGUAAUACGGAGGGGGCUAGCGUUGUUCGGAAUUACUGGGCGUAAAGCGCACGUAGGCGGCUUGGUAAGUUAGAGGUGAAAGCCUGGAGCUCAACUCCAGAAUUGCCUUUAAGACUGCCGAGCUAGCAGGUGAGAGAGGUAAGUGGAAUUCCGAGUGUAGAGGUGAAAUUCGUAGAUAUUCGGAAGAAUACCAGUGGCGAAGGCGGCUUACUGGCUCAUACUGGACGCUGAGGUGCGGAAGCGUGGGGAGCAAACAGGAUUAGAUACCCGCGUAGUCCCUGUCUCUUAUAC